This 1482-nucleotide ribosomal RNA is filed under the name Salmonella enterica. RNAcentral describes it as "partial 23S ribosomal RNA". It matches the Rfam family "Bacterial large subunit ribosomal RNA", at positions 16 to 1542 of the family's 2925-position model. The record is from RNAcentral. Lineage: Bacteria; Pseudomonadati; Pseudomonadota; Gammaproteobacteria; Enterobacterales; Enterobacteriaceae.
CGUACACGGUGGAUGCCCUGGCAGUCAGAGGCGAUGAAGGACGUGCUAAUCUGCGAUAAGCGCCGGUAAGGUGAUAUGAACCGUUAUAACCGGCGAUUUCCGAAUGGGGAAACCCAGUGUGACUCGUCACACUAUCAUUAACUGAAUCCAUAGGUUAAUGAGGCGAACCGGGGGAACUGAAACAUCUAAGUACCCCGAGGAAAAGAAAUCAACCGAGAUUCCCCCAGUAGCGGCGAGCGAACGGGGAGGAGCCCAGAGCCUGAAUCAGCAUGUGUGUUAGUGGAAGCGUCUGGAAAGGCGCGCGAUACAGGGUGACAGCCCCGUACACAAAAGCGCAUGUGCUGUGAGCUCGAUGAGUAGGGCGGGACACGUGGUAUCCUGUCUGAAUAUGGGGGGACCAUCCUCCAAGGCUAAAUACUCCUGACUGACCGAUAGUGAACCAGUACCGUGAGGGAAAGGCGAAAAGAACCCCGGCGAGGGGAGUGAAAAAGAACCUGAAACCGUGUACGUACAAGCAGUGGGAGCACCCUUCGGGGUGUGACUGCGUACCUUUUGUAUAAUGGGUCAGCGACUUAUAUUCUGUAGCAAGGUUAACCGUAUAGGGGAGCCGUAGGGAAACCGAGUCUUAACCGGGCGUUAAGUUGCAGGGUAUAGACCCGAAACCCGGUGAUCUAGCCAUGGGCAGGUUGAAGGUUGGGUAACACUAACUGGAGGACCGAACCGACUAAUGUUGAAAAAUUAGCGGAUGACCUGUGGCUGGGGGUGAAAGGCCAAUCAAACCGGGAGAUAGCUGGUUCUCCCCGAAAGCUAUUUAGGUAGCGCCUCGUGAAUUCAUCUCCGGGGGUAGAGCACUGUUUCGGCUAGGGGGCCAUCCCGGCUUACCAACCCGAUGCAAACUGCGAAUACCGGAGAAUGUUAUCACGGGAGACACACGGCGGGUGCUAACGUCCGUCGUGAAGAGGGAAACAACCCAGACCGCCAGCUAAGGUCCCAAAGUCAUAGUUAAGUGGGAAACGAUGUGGGAAGGCCCAGACAGCCAGGAUGUUGGCUUAGAAGCAGCCAUCAUUUAAAGAAAGCGUAAUAGCUCACUGGUCGAGUCGGCCUGCGCGGAAGAUGUAACGGGGCUAAACUAUGCACCGAAGCUGCGGCAGCGACACUAUGUGUUGUUGGGUAGGGGAGCGUUCUGUAAGCCUGUGAAGGUGUGUCGUGAGGCAUGCUGGAGGUAUCAGAAGUGCGAAUGCUGACAUAAGUAACGAUAAAGCGGGUGAAAAGCCCGCUCGCCGGAAGACCAAGGGUUCCUGUCCAACGUUAAUCGGGGCAGGGUGAGUCGACCCCUAAGGCGAGGCCGAAAGGCGUAGUCGAUGGGAAACGGGUUAAUAUUCCCGUACUUGGUGUUACUGCGAAGGGGGGACGGAGAAGGCUAUGUUGGCCGGGCGACGGUUGUCCCGGUUUAAGCGUGUAGGUGUGUGUUCCAGGUAAAUC